GCCAGUGUGGCAUAGUGGUUUGAGUGUUGGACUAGGUCUCUGAAGACCAGGGAUCAAUUCCCAGCUCAGCCA
Phrynosoma platyrhinos (Desert horned lizard) is the source of this 72-nucleotide non-coding RNA. NCBI's taxonomy places the organism in Eukaryota, Metazoa, Chordata, Lepidosauria, Squamata, Phrynosomatidae. The record is from the annotation of a GenBank genome assembly.